Molecule: ribosomal RNA, 520 nt
Filed under: uncultured bacterium
Lineage: Bacteria
Description: bacterial SSU rRNA
Rfam family: Archaeal small subunit ribosomal RNA
Source: RNAcentral
AACCUCCGCAAUGUGAGAAAUCGCGACGGGGGGAUCCCAAGUGCCAUUCUUAACGGGAUGGCUUUUCAUUAGUGUAAAGAGCUUUUGGAAUAAGAGCUGGGCAAGACCGGUGCCAGCCGCCGCGGUAACACCGGCAGCUCUAGUGGUAACAAUUUUUAUUGGGCCUAAAGCGUCCGUAGCCGGUUUAAUAAGUCUCUGGUGAAAUCCUGUAGCUUAACUGUGGGAAUUGCUGGAGAUACUAUUAGACUUGAGACCGGGAGAGGUUAGAGGUACUCCCAGGGUAGAGGUGAAAUUCUGUAAUCCUGGGAGGACCGCCUGUUGCGAAGGCGUCUAACUGGAACGGUUCUGACGGUGAGGGACGAAAGUUAGGGGCGCGAACCGGAUUAGAUACCCGGGUAGUCCUAACUGUAAACGAUGCGGACUUGGUGUUGGGGUGGCUUUGAGCUGCUCAGUGCCGAAGGGAAGCUGUUAAGUCCGCCGCCUGGGAAGUACGGUCGCAAGACUGAAACUUAAAGGAAUU